ACGGGGCCCGCACAAGCGGUGGAGCAUGUGGUUAAUUCGACGAUACGCGAAGAACUUACCCGGGUUUGACAUUGUAUCGAAGCAUCCAGAGAUGGAUGUGUCUCUUCGGAGACGGUAUGACAGGUGCUGCAUGGCCGUCGUCAGCUCGUGCCGUGAGGUGUUGGGUUAAGUCCCAUAACGAGCGCAACCCCUACCUUUAGUUGCCAUCAGGUUAAGCUGGGGACUCUAAAGGAACUGCCUACGCAAGUAGUGAGGAAGGCGGGGAUGACGUCAAAUCAGCACGGCCCUUACGUCCAGGGCUACACACGUGCUACAAUGGCCGAUACAGAGGGCAGCUACCUGGUGACAGGAUGCAAAUCUCCAAAGUCGGUCUCAGUUCGGAUCGGAGUCUGCAACCCGACUCCGUGAAGUCGGAAUCGCUAGUAAUCGUGAAUCAGAAUGUCACGGUGAAUACGUUCCCGGGCCUU
RNAcentral lists this ribosomal RNA (467 nucleotides) under uncultured Sphingobacteriales bacterium. RNAcentral's name for it is "bacterial SSU rRNA". It matches the Rfam family "Bacterial small subunit ribosomal RNA", at positions 916 to 1381 of the family's 1533-position model. Lineage: Bacteria; Pseudomonadati; Bacteroidota; Sphingobacteriia; Sphingobacteriales. The record is from RNAcentral.